CGGCCGGGAACUCAAAGGAGACUGCCAGUGAUAAACUGGAGGAAGGUGGGGAUGACGUCAAGUCAUCAUGGCCCUUACGAGUAGGGCUACACACGUGCUACAAUGGCGCAUACAAAGAGAAGCGACCUCGCGAGAGCAAGCGGACCUCAUAAAGUGCGUCGUAGUCCGGAUUGGAGUCUGCAACUCGACUCCAUGAAGUCGGAAUCGCUAGUAAUCGUAGAUCAGAAUGCUACGGUGAAUACGUUCCCGGGCCUUGUACACACCGCCCGUCACACCAUGGGAGUGGGUUGCAAAAGAAGUAGGUAGCUUAACCUUCGGGAGGGCGCUUACCACUUUGUGAUUCAUGACUGGGGUGAAGUCGUAACAAGGUAACCGUAGGGGAACCUGCGGUU
RNAcentral lists this ribosomal RNA (392 nucleotides) under Enterobacter asburiae. RNAcentral describes it as "bacterial SSU rRNA". It matches the Rfam family "Bacterial small subunit ribosomal RNA", at positions 1128 to 1519 of the family's 1533-position model. Lineage: Bacteria; Pseudomonadati; Pseudomonadota; Gammaproteobacteria; Enterobacterales; Enterobacteriaceae. The record is from RNAcentral. RNAcentral also lists the same sequence under 1 other name.